UGGGGAAUUUUGGACAAUGGGCGAAAGCCUGAUCCAGCAAUGCCGCGUGUGUGAAGAAGGCCUUCGGGUUGUAAAGCACUUUUGUCCGGAAAGAAAUCCUUGGCUCUAAUACAGUCGGGGGAUGACGGUACCGGAAGAAUAAGCACCGGCUAACUACGUGCCAGCAGCCGCGGUAAUACGUAGGGUGCAAGCGUUAAUCGGAAUUACUGGGCGUAAAGCGUGCGCAGGCGGUUUGCUAAGACCGAUGUGAAAUCCCCGGGCUCAACCUGGGAACUGCAUUGGUGACUGGCAGGCUAGAGUAUGGCAGAGGGGGGUAGAAUUCCACGUGUAGCAGUGAAAUGCGUAGAGAUGUGGAGGAAUACCGAUGGCGAAGGCAGCCCCCUGGGCCAAUACUGACGCUCAUGCACGAAAGGCGUGGGGAGCAAAGCAGGAUUAGAUACCCUGGUAGUCCACGCCCUAAACGAUGUCAACUAGUUGUUGGGGAUUCAUUUCCUUAGUAACGUAGCUAACGCGUGAAGUUGACCGCCUGGGGAGUACGGUCGCAAGAUUAAACUCAAU
This 558-nucleotide ribosomal RNA is filed under the name uncultured bacterium. RNAcentral's name for it is "partial 16S ribosomal RNA". It matches the Rfam family "Bacterial small subunit ribosomal RNA", at positions 355 to 905 of the family's 1533-position model. The record is from RNAcentral.